RNAcentral lists this ribosomal RNA (401 nucleotides) under uncultured bacterium. RNAcentral's name for it is "bacterial SSU rRNA". It matches the Rfam family "Bacterial small subunit ribosomal RNA", at positions 454 to 854 of the family's 1533-position model. The record is from RNAcentral.
UAAUACCCAUCUAGUCUGACGGUACCCCCUUAGGAAGCACCGGCUAACUUCGUGCCAGCAGCCGCGGUAAUACGAAGGGUGCAAACGUUGUUUUGAAUUAUUGGGGGUAAAACGCGCGUAGGCGGUUUUGUAAGUCGGAUGUGAAAGCCCUCGGCUUAACCGAGGGAAUUCAUUUGAAACUGCAAGGCUUGAGUGUUGGAGAGGGUAGCGGAAUUCCGGUGUAGCGGUGAAAUUCGUAGAUAUUUGGAGGAACACCCCUGGCGAAGGCGGCUCCCUGGACCAAUAUUGACGCUGAGGCGCGAAAGCGUGGGGAGCAAACAGGAUUAGAUACCCUGGUAGUCCACGCCCUAAACGAUGUUCACUAGAUGUUGGGGGAAUCACCUGCUUCAGUGUCGCAGCUA